GCGGGGUUUGCGCAGUAGGCAGAGCAUCAGUUUCCCAAGCUGAAUGUCGCGAGUUCGAUUCUCCGUACCCCGCCCCA
This 77-nucleotide transfer RNA is filed under the name Bacteroidota bacterium. Its description in RNAcentral is "Bacteroidetes bacterium tRNA-Gly". It matches the Rfam family "tRNA". Rfam says of the family: Transfer RNA (tRNA) molecules are approximately 80 nucleotides in length. Their secondary structure includes four short double-helical elements and three loops (D, anti-codon, and T loops). Lineage: Bacteria; Pseudomonadati; Bacteroidota. The record is from RNAcentral.